AUAUUUUUUUCACUAGGUAAUUUUUGAAUUGGAUAUUUUUAAGAAUAUUAAAACGAAUGAUCAGUGUUUUUUUUUUGUGUGUUUUUUAUCAAUUAUGAGAUGAAUUACUACAUAUCACAGACUUAUAUAUCACUUUUGUGUGCCAUCGUGGAGCACUGGCCGGACGAGAUCUGAGGGCAGAGCUCUUGCUGCAUCGCCGCGAUCCGCUGCAACCAGCCGUGCACGUCGGCUAUGGGGCUUGGCGUCGAGGUGGAGCUGGUUGGCGCUGGGCUGGCUAUCGUCGGCUCCGUCAGUCGGGUCGGCGACGAGUUCAGAGCCUCCUGGGCGAGGGACGCCUCGUAGUGGUCCAGAUACUCCGGAGGCAACGCUUGGUGGUGGAACUUGAGCUUCCAUCGCGACUUCCUGCGCCCACGACUGCAACAGAUUUUCCACGUCCCGAGUUUUAAUGGACCAUUCCACGGAUUUUAUGUUAUUUCAUUUUAUUUCGGAGAUCGAAUUUAGAAAUACUUAUUUUUAUUUAUUGUUCAGUCGAAUUGACGAGAUUGCAAAAAAUUGUAUUUCCAACAGUAGAAAAGAAUAUUUAAGAUUAUUUAUCGUCGUUGAACCACGAAAUUAUUGCAACUUUUCGUCUAAUUACGCAAAAAUGAAAGGUACAAUUUGAAGAUGCAUAAUUGUUAACGCAUUUACUACGUGAAAACAACUAUACAAAUUUUUACCACGCUCGAAAAAAAAAAAGAAAGCAAAAAGAUGCGAAACCUGAUUAAAUUCUCGCAAUUCCGAAAGAAAAAAAAAAGAAGCUCCGAAUCCUCCGCAUUCUCCCCGUUCCACCCAUCGUUCCUACGCGUAAUUAAUUCGUAAUUAAUUUCUCAUCGAGUAUUCCGCGUGAAGAGAAUCGCAUGGAAAUCGACUAAUAAUUACAUCGGCGAUACGAGGCUUUCGUUAACGUUGUUUUCCACCUAACUGCAUUCCAAACCACACCUCGACACACACGUCGAUUUAUACGUCGAGCCAUUCCAUCUUACGUGUACAUUAUGCAUAGAGAGUGUCCCGCGCUCCUCUUCCCUACUACUCGUUCUUUUUCUUUUUCUUUUUCUUUUUUUUCUUUUUUUUUAAUGAAAUUCAAUGUAACGGUAAUCAACUCGCGGCAUUUCAACGAGUCGACGUGCCAAAGAGGUUCUGUUUCUUUCUUCUUUUUUUUUCUCUCUUUUCAGAAAAGAACGCGGGAGAGAGUUCAUUUGGAACGAACCAGUUUCUCGCUGAAUCCAUUCUUGCUUAUCUAAAACUCUUUCGCGGCUGUAAACGAGACGAGUUGAAAGGGUCGUUAGAGUGGGAGGGGGAGGGGGGAGAGAAAGAGAGCGAGAAGGUGUCAGCGUACGGGGGAUCGAGAAGGAUAGAACGAGCGAGGAUAAUUGGAGGUUGGAAAAGGAAAUGAUUAAUCGAUUAAGAAGAGAGGAAAUGGUUGCGCAAAUGGAAUGAAAAUUUUUCGUUCUAAGAUUUAAAUGGAGAUCAGGAUGAGUUGAAAAGCCUCGUAAUGUAAAUUAGACGAAUUUUUCAAUUUCGUGAUGUUGAUACGAAAAUUUAUUUAUUUGUACUAUGUUUAAAUUUAAUCAUUCUAUUGAAUUAAAGAAUUAUUUUAAGAAACGAAA
Molecule: long non-coding RNA, 1646 nt
Organism: Apis cerana (Asiatic honeybee)
Lineage: Eukaryota; Metazoa; Arthropoda; Insecta; Hymenoptera; Apidae
Source: RefSeq, a predicted model, not a curated record